This 315-nucleotide ribosomal RNA is filed under the name uncultured eukaryote. RNAcentral's name for it is "partial 18S ribosomal RNA". It matches the Rfam family "Eukaryotic small subunit ribosomal RNA", at positions 1470 to 1796 of the family's 1831-position model. The record is from RNAcentral.
CCCUUAGACGUUCUGGGCCGCACGCGCGCUACACUGACCAGUGCAACAAGCAUCCGUCCUUGGCCGACAGGCUCGGGCAAUCUUUGAACGCUGGUCGUGAUGGGGAUAGACUUUUGCAAUUUUUGGUCUUCAACGAGGAAUUCCUAGUAAACGCAAGUCAUCAACUUGCAUUGAUUACGUCCCUGCCCUUUGUACACACCGCCCGUCGCACCUACCGACUGAAUGGUCCGGUGAAGCCUCCGGAUUGGCGCGCACCUCGGUGCCGCCGAGAAGUUGGCUAAACCUUACCAUUUAGAGGAAGGUGAANUCGUANCA